Molecule: long non-coding RNA, 1615 nt
Filed under: Gossypium barbadense (sea-island cotton)
Lineage: Eukaryota; Viridiplantae; Streptophyta; Magnoliopsida; Malvales; Malvaceae
Description: long non-coding RNA (GBAR_LNC021090)
Source: RNAcentral
GGCAAAUAAGUUAAUAUAUAGAACGAUGCAUGGCUUUCUGGAGAAGGAAAAUUACAGUUUCAGAAUAUAGAUUACAAGUACACUUUAGUUGCAGAUCUAAUUAACUAUGAAUCUGUUACCUGGAAGGAAGAAACCUUAAGAGGGCUUUUCCCUGAAGAACAAGCUAAGAUAAUUGGCUCCAUCCCCUUAGGGAACGCCUUACAACCAGAUAAAAGGGUUUGGCGAGGUGACAAGUUGGGGGAAUACACGACAAAAAACCGUUACAAACGGUGUGUCACAGAGGAUCUAAACCUGUUGAGAAAUGAAAUAACAACAUAUCUGGAACAAACUAGAAAUUAUUAUACAAAAAUUUGGAGCCUAAAGAUUCCCAGCAAGGUACGGAUCAAUCUAUUGAGAAUUAAAAAUAAUUUCUUUCCUACAUUAAGUAACUUAAAAGCCCGUAGGCUGAGAUAUGAUGCCCUAUGCUCGCUAUGUGGGGAAGAAGAUGAGUCAGUUAGCCAUAUUUUUAGAGAUUGCAACCUUGCGAAACAAGUCCUCUAGCAAAUGACAGUGACAUUGCCGCCCAUACAUGACAAUCAAGAAUGGAAACAAUGGUUAGCUGAGACGUUCAAUAUCAAUAAUGCAUAUAAAUCCACAUGCCUAGCAGUAUCGCUAUGGACAAUACGGCAUAACAUGAGCAAAUACUACCACGAAGGUAUUCAACAAAGAAUAUGCGAGAUAGUGGCCUUUAUCAAAGCAUAUAUAACAAAAAUUUGACAUGCUAUAGGAAGCACUGAAAUGCAAACAUAUUACAGAUCCCAGUGGGAACCCCCAACAGAAAGUCAAGUAAAAGCAAACUUUGUUACCGCGUUUCAACAAUAGAGCAACAAAACAGUUUCGAAAAUAAUCAUCAGAAAUCAUAUGGGGCUAGUUAUGAGUUCAUGUACUUACCUGAUCAACAACGUUUGAGAUCCGACAACCUCCAAAGUGUAUGCAUGCCUUCAAGGAGUUGUCUUUGCAGAAGAAAUGGGGUUUGGCAAUGUAAUCAUCGAAUGGGACUCAAGAACCGUCAUUAAAAAGCUACAAAAUUCCAGGAAAUGACAGAUCAAUUAUUAGGGGUGUUAUAAACGAAAUAAAAGAAAAGUCAAGAAAUUUUUGGAAUAUUGUGUUCCAUUACGUACCGAAAGAAGCCAACGGAACAGAGCAUGCGAUGGCUGCCUGGGGAAGAGGAAGCGACUCUUCGGCUUUCUGGGUGGAAGAAACUCCGUUGGAGGUUGAACCCAUAGUACUAAGGGAUCAAGGGAGAAGUGCUUAGUGAAAGUAGUAUCGGUGGUUGUGGUGGGCCGAGUCCGGAGAAGAUAAAGGGUCAACGAAGCUCCGAGGAACUCGGAAAAUGAUGAAUCUAGGGGAAAAAAUUAAGACGAGGACAAUGGGUUUGUUUACCGAGUCCAUCGUAGAAGAGACAUUCGGCGACGUAGCAACAGAACCGAGGCACCGUCCACGGUAUGCAACGAUUGAAUGAGAAGUGGUAGUGUUAAGUGGCUUAGUGAUUUUUUAGGAUUUUAUUUCAAUGCAGUGGCCAAAUAAAAUUCAAAAAGAAAUAAUCUCAUUCAAUUAAUUUUUUUCAAUAAUGAAA